This 383-nucleotide ribosomal RNA is filed under the name uncultured bacterium. Its description in RNAcentral is "bacterial SSU rRNA". It matches the Rfam family "Bacterial small subunit ribosomal RNA", at positions 30 to 416 of the family's 1533-position model. The record is from RNAcentral.
AUUGAACGCUGGCGGCAUGCCUUACACAUGCAAGUCGAACGGCAGCACGGGAGCAAUCCUGGUGGCGAGUGGCGAACGGGUGAGUAAUAUAUCGGAACGUGCCCAGUCGUGGGGAUAACGUAGCGAAAGCUACGCUAAUACCGCAUACGAUCUAUGGAUGAAAGCGGGGGAUCGCAAGACCUCGCGCGAUUGGAGCGGCCGAUAUCAGAUUAGGUAGUUGGUGAGGUAAAGGCUCACCAAGCCGACGAUCUGUAGCUGGUCUGAGAGGACGACCAGCCACACUGGGACUGAGACACGGCCCAGACUCCUACGGGAGGCAGCAGUGGGAAUUUUGGACAAUGGCGCAAGCCUGAUCCAGCAAUGCCGCGUGCAGGAUGAAGGCC